This 253-nucleotide ribosomal RNA is filed under the name uncultured bacterium. Its description in RNAcentral is "partial 16S ribosomal RNA". It matches the Rfam family "Bacterial small subunit ribosomal RNA", at positions 524 to 776 of the family's 1533-position model. The record is from RNAcentral.
UACGUAGGUGGCAAGCGUUGUCCGGAUUUACUGGGCGUAAAGAGCGCGCAGGCGGUCGUGCAAGUCGCGUGUGAAAGCCCCCGGCUCAACUGGGGAGGGUCACGCGAUACUGCUCGACUCGAAGGCAGGAGAGGGAAGUGGAAUUCCCGGUGUAGUGGUGAAAUGCGUAGAUAUCUGGAGGAACACCGGUGGCGAAGGCGGCAUCCUGGACCAACACUGACACUGAGGAGCGAAAGCCAGGGGAGCAAACGGG